RNAcentral lists this ribosomal RNA (496 nucleotides) under uncultured bacterium. RNAcentral's name for it is "partial 16S ribosomal RNA". It matches the Rfam family "Bacterial small subunit ribosomal RNA", at positions 29 to 507 of the family's 1533-position model. The record is from RNAcentral.
AUGAACGCUGGCGGCGUGCCUCAUACAUGCAAGUCGAGCGAACAGAUGAGGAGCUUGCUCCUCUGACGUUAGCGGCGGACGGGUGAGUAACACGUGGAUAACCUACCUAUAAGACUGGGAUAACUUCGGGAAACCGUAGCUAAUACCGGAUAAUAUAUUGAACCGCAUGGUUCAAUAGUGAAAGACGGUUUUGCUGUCACUUAUAGAUGGAUCCGCGCCGCAUUAGCUAGUUGGUAAGGUAACGGCUUACCAAGGCAACGAUGCGUAGCCGACCUGAGAGGGUGAUCGGCCACACUGGAACUGAGACACGGUCCAGACUCCUACGGGAGGCAGCAGUAGGGAAUCUUCCGCAAUGGGCGAAAGCCUGACGGAGCAACGCCGCGUGAGUGAUGAAGGUCUUCGGAUCGUAAAACUCUGUUAUUAGGGAAGAACAAAUGUGUAAGUAACUAUGCACGUCUUGACGGUACCUAAUCAGAAAGCCACGGCUAACUACGUG